GACGAACGCUGGCGGCGUGCUUAACACAUGCAAGUCGAGCGGUAAGGCCCUUUCGGGGGUACACGAGCGGCGAACGGGUGAGUAACACGUGGGUGACCUGCCUCUAGCUCUGGGAUAAGCCCGGGAAACUGGGUCUAAUACUGGAUAUGACUCCAUGACGCAUGUUGUGGGGUGAAAGCCUUGUGCGGCUAGAGAUGGGCCCGCGGCCUAUCAGCUUGUUGGGGGGUG
RNAcentral lists this ribosomal RNA (228 nucleotides) under uncultured bacterium. Its description in RNAcentral is "partial 16S ribosomal RNA". It matches the Rfam family "Bacterial small subunit ribosomal RNA", at positions 28 to 258 of the family's 1533-position model. The record is from RNAcentral.